Molecule: ribosomal RNA, 500 nt
Filed under: uncultured bacterium
Lineage: Bacteria
Description: bacterial SSU rRNA
Rfam family: Bacterial small subunit ribosomal RNA
Source: RNAcentral
AUUGAACGCUGGCGGCAGGCCUAACACAUGCAAGUCGAGCGGCAGCGCGGGGCAACCUGGCGGCGAGCGGCGGACGGGUGAGUAACGCGUAGGAAUCUACCCAGUAGCGGGGGAUAGCCCGGGGAAACUCGGAUUAAUACCGCAUACGCCCUAAGGGGGAAAGCAGGGGAUCGUAAGACCUUGCACUAUUGGAAGAGCCUGCGUUGGAUUAGCUAGUUGGUAGGGUAAAGGCCUACCAAGGCGACGAUCCAUAACUGGUCUGAGAGGAUGAUCAGUCACACCGGAACUGAGACACGGUCCGGACUCCUACGGGAGGCAGCAGUGGGGAAUAUUGGACAAUGGGGGCAACCCUGAUCCAGCCAUGCCGCGUGUGUGAAGAAGGCCUUCGGGUUGUAAAGCACUUUAAGUGGGGAAAAAGGCUCGUUGCCUAAUACUCAGCGGGAUUGAUACUACCCACAGAAUAAGCACCGGCUAGCUCUGUGCCAGCAGCCGCGGUAAUA